RNAcentral lists this ribosomal RNA (253 nucleotides) under uncultured bacterium. RNAcentral's name for it is "partial 16S ribosomal RNA". It matches the Rfam family "Bacterial small subunit ribosomal RNA", at positions 524 to 776 of the family's 1533-position model. The record is from RNAcentral.
UACGUAGGGCGCAAGCGUUGUCCGGAAUUAUUGGGCGUAAAGAGCUCGUAGGCGGCUUGUCACGUCGGGUGUGAAAGCCCGGGGCUUAACCCCGGGUCUGCAUUCGAUACGGGCUAGCUAGAGUGUGGUAGGGGAGAUCGGAAUUCCUGGUGUAGCGGUGAAAUGCGCAGAUAUCAGGAGGAACACCGGUGGCGAAGGCGGAUCUCUGGGCCAUAACUGACGCUGAGGAGCGAAAGCAUGGGGAGCGAACGGG